Molecule: ribosomal RNA, 301 nt
Filed under: uncultured bacterium
Lineage: Bacteria
Description: partial 16S ribosomal RNA
Rfam family: Bacterial small subunit ribosomal RNA
Source: RNAcentral
CAGUAGCCACGGUAAUAUGUAGGGCGCGAGCGUUAAUCGGAAUUAUUGGGCGUAAAGCGUGCGCAGGCGGUGAUGUAAGACAGAUGUGAAAUCCCCGGGCUCAACCUGGGAACUGCAUUAGUGACUGCAUCGCUGGAGUGCGGCAGAGGGGGAUGGAAUUCCGCGUGUAGCAGUGAAAUGCGUAGAUAUGCGGAGGAACACCGAUGGCGAAGGCAAUCCCCUGGGCCUGCACUGACGCUCAUGCACGAAAGCGUGGGGAGCAAACAGGAUUAGAUACCCGCGUAGUCCCUGUCUCUUAUAC